This 1658-nucleotide long non-coding RNA is filed under the name Theobroma cacao (cacao). RNAcentral describes it as "long non-coding RNA (TCAC_LNC003123)". Lineage: Eukaryota; Viridiplantae; Streptophyta; Magnoliopsida; Malvales; Malvaceae. The record is from RNAcentral.
AAACCAGAAGAGAAGAGAAACCAAGGAAGAACAAACCCUAGGUGGGAAAAAUCAAAGAGAAAGUGUUGGAAUUCAAGGAUUUGAUCAAGUAAAGGUAAAAUUUCUUUGAUUUUGCUAGUGAUUUACCUUACCCAUGCAUUUCUCCUUAAUUUCUAUGGUUGAAAAGCAUGCUUUCAUGGUGAAUUCAUGGCUGGUCAAAAUGGGUAUGGAGAGAGAAUGAUCUUGGAUUGGUUUGAUUUUUAGGUAUGUUAGGUGAUUAAUGAUGUGUAGCAUGAAAACAAGUGAAGAAAACCAUAAAAGGUUUGGUGCCCAUCAAUAGCCGAAUUCUCUAAGUGAAUAAUGAGGAAGAAUGGGAUGUUAUUCUAGGUGACUUGAUUAAGAAAUAAUAGUUUUUGGUGAAUUGAGGAAUUAGAAAAGAAAUGGAGCAAGUUGGAGUGAAAUUAGACGCAUUGGCCAAUUUAUCGGAUGAAAAAUCGACUUAGGCCAAUACCGAGUCUAGAUGGCUACCCGUGCAUUUUUCAAUUCAUAUCACGCAUAUAUAUCGAGCUUGAAAUAGCUUAUGACUGUUAGACACAAUUUAAUUGGAAUAUGUGUCAUAGAUUAUGGCUAGGUAGUGAGCCAUUAGAUACGGAUAAAGGACUGUACCCGCGGACUGAAAAUAAGAGUAUUUAUACUCCUAAUACUGUGAGUGGACAAUUUAUCGUCUUAAAUAUCUAGAGUAAUUAUACUUGUUUGAUGCUUUUAUUGAAUGGUGAGUUUAAAUUAUAAAAUAUUAUGUUUUUCAAUUAAAAUGUUUUUUAAUAAAAAUGAGAUUUAUAUUGAUUUUGAAAUCAAAUAUUGUUUUGGGAAAAUUGAGUAUAUGGAGACUGUGUUGAAUUUAUGAUUUUAUAUAUUAUUAAAAUUGUGGCUUAUGACACUAUGGUAGCAUGAUGGCUAAAUUUUUGGAGUUGGCAUGAAAUAUAUGAACAGUUUUGGAUUGGUGUCGGUAGACUGGAUAAAAUUUUAUUCGCUAUAUUAUGCUAUUGAAAAUUUUAUGGGUCUGGUGGUAUAUUAAACGGUCACUGUAGUGGUGGGGGUUUCCGUGGACUGUUUAUGAGAGGGGCACAAUAACCCAAUUAUAUACUUACCUCCGAGGGGAGAUGUUGGAUAAAGUAUCUCCUGAGGUAAGAUUUGAGUGCACCUCACGUUCGGGCCACCACGUGAGAGUGAGACUCAACCAACGCAAGAAACGGUUGUGUGUCAGAUGCGAAAACAUGUUUAUGGGUAUGGGACAUUUAACAGCCUUGGCGGUCUCAGUGGGAUACCUUGACGAAGGUACCAGCGAGAAUGAUUCUGAUAGGGGCCAAGUUUAAGAAACUCAUAAGCCGGGGAAAUUUUGAUGAAAAGAAAUUGUUUGGUGUAGAUUGAAACGAAUUUUGUGUUAUGAACAUUAUUGAGAUAUAAGGUUUUUAUAUUGUCUUCGUCUACUCGGUUUUAGAUGCUUUUGAUGGUAAUUGUUUACUCAUUGGGAUUUUGUAAUCUCACCCCUCUUCCUAUCCAUGUUUUUCAGGCUCAGGAUAGUUUGUUGAUAGUUGAUUAAGACGAGAAUUAAUCUCAGAGUUGCAUCCUAGAAAGUAAGGGUUCGUAGCCCUACACCUUCUUGGUCAAUUGGGGGCCCA